This 321-nucleotide ribosomal RNA is filed under the name uncultured eukaryote. RNAcentral's name for it is "partial 18S ribosomal RNA". It matches the Rfam family "Eukaryotic small subunit ribosomal RNA", at positions 1470 to 1796 of the family's 1831-position model. The record is from RNAcentral.
CCCUUAGAUGUUCUGGGCCGCACGCGCGCUACACUGAUGCAUUCAACGAGCCUAUCCUUGACCGACAGGUCCGGGUAAUCUUUGAAUCUGCAUCGUGACGGGGAUAGAUUAUUGCAAUUAUUAGUCUUGAACGAGGAAUUCCUAGUAAGCACAAGUCAUCAGCUUGUGUUGAUUACGUCCCUGCCCUUUGUACACACCGCCCGUCGCUCCUACCGAUUGAAUGUUCCGGUGAGCUCUUCGGACUGCGCGGUCUGCAGUUUCUGCGUUCCGUGCGGAAAGUUGCGCAAACCUUAACAUUUAGAGGAAGGAGAAGUCGUAACA